GGGUGAUUAGCUCAGUGGUAGAGCGCUUCGUUCACAUCGAAGAUGUCAGGAGUUCGAAUCUCUUAUCACCCACCA
Molecule: transfer RNA, 75 nt
Filed under: Rhodovulum sp.
Lineage: Bacteria; Pseudomonadati; Pseudomonadota; Alphaproteobacteria; Rhodobacterales; Paracoccaceae
Also listed under: 162 other names
Description: tRNA-Val
Rfam family: tRNA
About the family: Transfer RNA (tRNA) molecules are approximately 80 nucleotides in length.
Source: RNAcentral